UACGUAGGGUGCAAGCGUUGUCCGGAAUUAUUGGGCGUAAAGAGCUCGUAGGCGGUCUGUCGCGUCUGCUGUGAAAACUCGGGGCUUAACCCCGGGCCUGCAGUGGGUACGGGCAGACUAGAGUGCGGUAGGGGAGACUGGAAUUCCUGGUGUAGCAGUGAAAUGCGUAGAUAUCAGGAGGAAUACCGAUGGCGAAGGCAGGUCUCUGGGCUGACACUGACGCUCAUGCACGAAAGCGUGGGGAGCAAACAGG
Molecule: ribosomal RNA, 253 nt
Filed under: uncultured bacterium
Lineage: Bacteria
Description: partial 16S ribosomal RNA
Rfam family: Bacterial small subunit ribosomal RNA
Source: RNAcentral